This is a long non-coding RNA of Mastomys coucha (southern multimammate mouse), 605 nucleotides long. RefSeq lists it as uncharacterized. Lineage: Eukaryota; Metazoa; Chordata; Mammalia; Rodentia; Muridae. The record is from RefSeq and is a predicted model, not a curated record. The transcript has 2 exons.
GGCUUUGGAUGCCCUGAUGCUAACCCUAUAAAGUUCUGUAACCAAGAGGCAGAAAGAUCGCAGUAGGCCCCACAUGAAGAUAAGUACUGGCCUGUUCCUAAGAGGGGGCUGAGCAGGUUUCAGUCUUUCUUAUGCCUUCGGUAGAGGCCCUGGGGAAGGGACCGACUGAAUAACCUACACAGCAGUCCUACAUGCUAUAUAAGAAAAGUCUUGGCGGUCCUGAGCCUGUUCACCCAGACUCUAACUUGAGCACAUGUGCAAAGCCAGGACACACCAUUCUGAGAGAGUUACUUGGACACUCACACUCCCAAGAGGUCUUUACAUGUACCUGGACUGAUCCCUUCUAGAUGGUGGCUGGCCUUCAAAGACAAGCUCAAAGCUUAAAAAUGGUGGCUUGGUUCUAUCUCAGAGGUCAGCAAACUGCAGUCUGCAAGCCAAGCCUAGCUGCUGUCUGACACUGCACAGGCCGUGAACUUAAGAAUGGAGUUUACGUGGACAUAUGGCUAUGGUGAAGGUGCAGCAAUCAGAGGAAUCAUAAGGCCUGACAAGAAAAUUAAAAGAGAAUCAAAUGCCAACAUCCAUAAAUAAAAGUUUGCUGAAACACA